Molecule: ribosomal RNA, 381 nt
Filed under: Methanomethylovorans hollandica
Lineage: Archaea; Methanobacteriati; Methanobacteriota; Methanomicrobia; Methanosarcinales; Methanosarcinaceae
Description: bacterial SSU rRNA
Rfam family: Archaeal small subunit ribosomal RNA
Source: RNAcentral
ACUUUACAAUGCGGGGAACCGCGAUAAGGGGACACCGAGUGCCAGCAUCCUAUGUUGGCUGUCCAUAUGUCUAAAUCACAUGUGUUAGCAAGGGCCGGGCAAGACCGGUGCCAGCCGCCGCGGUAACACCGGCGGCCCGAGUGGUGGCCACUAUUAUUGGGUCUAAAGGGUCCGUAGCCGGUUUGGUCAGUCUUCCGGGAAAUCUGACGGCUCAACCGUUAGGCUUUCGGGGGGUAAUACCAGGCUUGGGACCGGGAGAGGUAAGGAGGUACACGGGGGGUAGGAGUGAAAUCUUGUAAUCCCUGUGGGACCACCAGAGGCGAAGGCGUCUUACCAGAACGGGUCCGACGGUGAGGGACGAAAGCUGGGGGCACGAACCGG